RNAcentral lists this ribosomal RNA (1417 nucleotides) under Schistosoma japonicum. RNAcentral describes it as "SSU rRNA". It matches the Rfam family "Eukaryotic small subunit ribosomal RNA", at positions 1 to 1305 of the family's 1831-position model. Lineage: Eukaryota; Metazoa; Platyhelminthes; Trematoda; Strigeidida; Schistosomatidae. The record is from RNAcentral.
ACUGGUUGAUCCUGCCAGUAGUCAUAUGCUUGUCUCAGAGAUUAAGCCAUGCAUGUCUAAGUACAUACCUUAAAACGGUGAAACCGCGAAUGGCUCAUUAAAUCAGCUAUGGUUCCUUAGAUCGUAAACGCUACAUGGAUAACUGUAGUAAUUCUAGAGCUAAUACAUGCCUUGAAUCCCUGACCCGCAAGGGGACGGGUGCAUUUAUUAGAACAGAACCAACCGGGUGCGGCUUAUGCUGUGCCUGUUACAUUCUGUGAUGACUCUGGAUAACUUUACUGAUCGCAGUCGGCCUUGUGUGUCGGCGACGGAUCUUUCAAAUGUCUGCCCUAUCAAUUUGUUGGUAGGUGAUUUGCCUACCAUGAUGAUAACGGGUAACGGGGAAUCAGGGUUCGAUUCCGGAGAGGGAGCCUGAGAAAUGGCUACCACAUCCAAGGACGGCAGCAGGCGCGAAAAUUACCCACUCCCAGCACGGGGAGGUAGUGACGAAAAAUACGGAUACGGGACUCAAUUGAGGCUCCGUAAUUCGAAUGAGUACAAUUUAAAUCCUUUAACGAGGACCAAUUGGAGGGCAAGUCUGGUGCCAGCAGCCGCGUAACUCCAGCUCCAAAAGCGUAUAUUAAAGUUGCUGCAGUUAAAAAGCUCGUAGUUGGAUCUGGGUAGUGCGAUCGCAUGCUGUUGCUUGUUCACGGUCUUGGUUACGAUCAGGGCAGUGGUCAGCUCGGCGUAGUGGUUGUGCAACCUGUCAGCCGUGUCUGUGUUUUAUUAAACAGGUGUCGAUGGGUUAAUGAGUAUUGUAUCUUAUUGACCUGUUGGCAUGCUUUCGGAUGCCUUUAAACGGGUGUCGGGGGCGGACGGCAUCUUUACUUUGAACAAAUUUGAGUGCUCAAAGCAGGCCUAUGCGCCUGAAAAUUCUUGCAUGGAAUAAUGAAAUAGGACUUCGGUUCUAUUUUGUUGGUUUUCGGAUCCGAAGUAAUGGUUAAGAGGGACAGACGGGGGCAUUUGUAUGGCGGUGUUAGAGGUGAAAUUCUGGGAUCGCCGCCAGACAAACUACAGCGAAAGCAUUUGCCAAGAAUGUUUUCAUUGAUCAGGAGCGAAAGUCAGAGUUUCGAAGACGAUCAGAUACCGUCGUAGUUCUGACCAUAAACGAUGCCAACUGACGAUCCGCGUUGGUUCUAUAAUUGACAUCGCGGGCAGUCCCCGGGAAACCUUUAAGUCUUUGGGCUCCGGGGGGAGUAUGGUUGCAAAGCUGAAACUUAAAGGAAUUGACGGAAGGGCACCACCAGGAGUGGAGCCUGCGGUUUAAUUCGACUCAACACGGGAAAACUCACCCGGCCCGGACACUGUGAGGAUUGACAGAUUGAAAGCUCUUUCUUGAUUCGGUGGUUGGUGGUGCAUGGCCGUUCUUAGUUGUGGA